AGUGAACGCUGGCGGUAGGCCUAACACAUGCAAGUCGAACGGCAGCACAGUAAGAGCUUGCUCUUACGGGUGGCGAGUGGCGGACGGGUGAGGAAUACAUCGGAAUCUACUUUUUCGUGGGGGAUAACGUAGGGAAACUUGCGCUAAUACCGCAUACGACCUACGGGUGAAAGCAGGGGAUCUUCGGACCUUGCGCGAUUGAAUGAGCCGAUGUCGGAUUAGCUAGUUGGCGGGGUAAAGGCCCACCAAGGCGACGAUCCGUAGCUGGUCUGAGAGGAUGAUCAGCCACACUGGAACUGAGACACGGUCCAGACUCCUACGGGAGGCAGCAGUGGGGAAUAUUGGACAAUGGGCGCAAGCCUGAUCCAGCCAUACCGCGUGAGUGAAGAAGGCCUUCGGGUUGUAAAGCCCUUUUGUUGGGAAAGAAAAGCAGCAGGUUAAUACCCCGCUGUUCUGACGGUACCCAAAGAAUAAGCACCGGCUAACUUCGUG
RNAcentral lists this ribosomal RNA (492 nucleotides) under uncultured bacterium. RNAcentral's name for it is "partial 16S ribosomal RNA". It matches the Rfam family "Bacterial small subunit ribosomal RNA", at positions 29 to 507 of the family's 1533-position model. The record is from RNAcentral.